RNAcentral lists this ribosomal RNA (239 nucleotides) under uncultured bacterium. RNAcentral describes it as "partial 16S ribosomal RNA". It matches the Rfam family "Bacterial small subunit ribosomal RNA", at positions 99 to 334 of the family's 1533-position model. The record is from RNAcentral.
CGGACGGGUGAGUAACACGUAGGUGAUCUGCCCUUGAGUUGGGGGUAGCCCAUGGAAACAUGGGGUAAUACCGAAUACGGUCCGGGAACUGUAGUUUCUGGAAGAAAAGCGCUUCGGCGCUGCUCGAGGAUGAGCCUGCGGCUGAUUAGCUAGUUGGUGGGGUAAUGGCUCACCAAGGCGACGAUCAGUAGCCGGCCUGAGAGGGUGAACGGCCACACUGGGACUGAGAUACGGCCCAG